GUUGGUGAACCAGCGGAGGGAUCAUUACAGAGUUGAAAGACUCCCAAACCCACUGUAAACUUACCUGUCCAGUUGCUUCGGCAGGCGGCCCCAGGGCGGGGCCCCCUCAGGCCUGCUUAGCCAGGCGCCUGCCGCUGGCCCGCAAAACUCUUCUCUCCAUAUGGUACGCUCUGAGUCCCAAACAAAAUGAAUCAAAACUUUCAACAACGGAUCUCUUGGUUCUG
Molecule: unclassified non-coding RNA, 224 nt
Filed under: rhizosphere metagenome
Description: partial ribosomal RNA internal transcribed spacer region
Source: RNAcentral